Molecule: non-coding RNA, 24 nt
Filed under: Rattus norvegicus (Norway rat)
Lineage: Eukaryota; Metazoa; Chordata; Mammalia; Rodentia; Muridae
Source: RNAcentral
AUAAAUGAGCAGGAACAAGAAAAC